GUCAAAACAAACCAGUUUCUCAUUAUUUUCCCUUUUGAAACGUAGUCUGCUCUGAACUGCUUUUAGUCCAGAAUUCAUGCUUGGCAGAUCCCAUCUUGUCGCCAUGGUUCCAUGCAAUAGUGAUUUUCUGCGUUCAAACAUCAGCCACAUUUGAAUGUUUCUAUAAAUAGCCACAACAUCCAUAGGUGUUAGAAGACGCAUGCAGUGACGUCAGUGGAACGAGAAGCCGCUGGAAACAAAAGAAAGAUUCAAAGGGCAAUUGGUGAAUAUGUAAAAAUUGGACAUACAUUUUUUUUUUGCCCACGGCAAUUUGGCACUAGAGUCCCAUUUCUUAUCCACGUUCAGUCCGAGGUAGUCGAGUGAUAUCGGUAUUCUUUUUACUGAAUUUGGUAAUUAUUAAAUCACAUAGAAGCGUAUGGGCAAUUUAAAGAUUUUCAGUUCUUUCUAAGCCUCCUUGACCUAUUAGCAGUAGGUAUUCAUUUCCUGCUUUUUUGUUUCAUGGCAUUUCCAAGGAAGAAUCGAUACUUUAAUCAAAGAAUUCAAAAACUCGGAUGGGUUGGUUUCCGACCAAUUGGUUACAUGUCUCCCCUCUAGGGAAUGACAAGUUCUCGAGAGAACGCUUUGAUACACAAUUGUACUUGGGACUGACGACUUGCUACGACAACACACGAAGGAAAAUUGGAAGAAAAAUCUCGUCGUGUCUUUGAUAACGAAGGAAAAAUCGUUGGUGUGACAAGGUGAACGACUCUCAUCAACAACGAAGACACGACAUUUUGUGGUCCAACAUCGAACGAUAAAAUAACGAGCGUGCAAUUUUAUACACGUAUCGUUCGUUAACGGGUGGUUGGGUGCAGUGCCUGGGGUUGUCGUACUUGUGUCACCUUACAAAGAGAAACACGCCAUAUUGCCCACGCAAAUAGUCAGACGGAUGUUGUGCUUCAACAAAGAAAAGGUGAGUAUCUCAGUUGAGAAAUGGAUUGCCUUUUGUCACACAAAUUGGUGCAGAAAAUUUGCUUCAUCUCCAUUAGGGAUAAAAGCUUAGUAAAUAGAAGUGGGCCCCGUUGAUUGUACUUUGAGUCCGAUAUCCAUUAACGGGGAGAUGGGACGCCACUACUGACGCAUUAGAUUUAAGAGAAAGGUAAGUGCUGAGCCGAAAGAUCACAAAGAGAGCAAAAAUAGAAGUAAUGGCCGCGCCCAAUAAGUUAAAAGCGAGUUCCCGACAUGUUAUUCGCUCCUGUCCGUUAAUGGCGUCAACGGCAACAGUAAAUAUUGUCUAGUACAAUAAUCGACAUUGAUGCAAUUUCCGAUACACAGUGAUUGAGCAAACAUGACUCCACCUUGAAAAAAGAAAUCCUUCAAGAAAAUGAACCCGUUUGAUAUGAUCAAUGUAUUUUUGAGAGUUCAACAGAAAACAGAGACGUAACGCACAAAGAGACUUUAAAAAUUGACAGAUGGCAGCCAACACGUGUAUAAUUUCAAUGGCUGUCACAGAGAGAUAUGUGGUGUGAUUCGCGUGUGUG
Long non-coding RNA from Daphnia carinata, 1520 nucleotides. RefSeq lists it as uncharacterized. The record is from RefSeq and is a predicted model, not a curated record. The transcript is spliced from 4 exons. NCBI's taxonomy places the organism in Eukaryota, Metazoa, Arthropoda, Branchiopoda, Diplostraca, Daphniidae.